AACGAACGCUGGCGGCAUGCCUAACACAUGCAAGUCGAACGAAGUCUUCGGACUUAGUGGCGCACGGGUGCGUAACGCGUGGGAAUCUGCCUUUGGGUUCGGAAUAACAGUGAGAAAUUACUGCUAAUACCGGAUGAUGUCUUCGGACCAAAGAUUUAUCGCCCAAAGAUGAGCCCGCGUAAGAUUAGCUAGUUGGUGAGGUAAAGGCUCACCAAGGCGACGAUCUUUAGCUGGUCUGAGAGGAUGAUCAGCCACACUGGGACUGAGACACGGCCCAGACUCCUACGGGAGGCAGCAGUGGGGAAUAUUGGACAAUGGGCGAAAGCCUGAUCCAGCAAUGCCGCGUGAGUGAUGAAGGCCUUAGGGUUGUAAAGCUCUUUACCAGGGAUGAUAAUGACAGUACCGGGAGAAUAAG
RNAcentral lists this ribosomal RNA (415 nucleotides) under uncultured bacterium. Its description in RNAcentral is "bacterial SSU rRNA". It matches the Rfam family "Bacterial small subunit ribosomal RNA", at positions 29 to 490 of the family's 1533-position model. The record is from RNAcentral.